GACUCCGUAGCUCAAUGGAUAGAGCGCUACCCUCCGGAGGUAGAGGUUCUGGGUUCGAAUCCCAGCGGGGUCG
Molecule: transfer RNA, 73 nt
Filed under: Chloroflexota bacterium
Lineage: Bacteria; Bacillati; Chloroflexota
Description: tRNA-Arg
Rfam family: tRNA
About the family: Transfer RNA (tRNA) molecules are approximately 80 nucleotides in length. Their secondary structure includes four short double-helical elements and three loops (D, anti-codon, and T loops). Further hydrogen bonds mediate the characteristic L-shaped molecular structure. tRNAs have two regions of fundamental functional importance: the anti-codon, which is responsible for specific mRNA codon recognition, and the 3' end, to which the tRNAs corresponding amino acid is attached (by aminoacyl-tRNA synthetases). tRNAs cope with the degeneracy of the genetic code in two manners: having more than one tRNA (with a specific anti-codon) for a particular amino acid; and 'wobble' base-pairing, i.e. permitting non-standard base-pairing at the 3rd anti-codon position.
Source: RNAcentral